This is a small nucleolar RNA of Ornithorhynchus anatinus (platypus), 133 nucleotides long. NCBI's taxonomy places the organism in Eukaryota, Metazoa, Chordata, Mammalia, Monotremata, Ornithorhynchidae. The record is from RefSeq and is a predicted model, not a curated record.
CCCCUCUCAGGGUCACACCUGGAGAGUUUCCAGUACUCUAUCAGUUUCAGCUAUGGGAGGGAGAGUCAAGCAGAGGCCAUUCCAUUCCUAGCUUGGGCAGUGGCUAGCGAGGAGAAGGCAUUCUGCUACAAGU